Molecule: ribosomal RNA, 505 nt
Filed under: uncultured bacterium
Lineage: Bacteria
Description: bacterial SSU rRNA
Rfam family: Bacterial small subunit ribosomal RNA
Source: RNAcentral
AUCUUCCGCAAUGGACGAAAGUCUGACGGAGCAACGCCGCGUGAGUGAUGAAGGCUUUCGGGUCGUAAAACUCUGUUGUUAGGGAAGAACAAGUGCUAGUUGAAUAAGCUGGCACCUUGACGGUACCUAACCAGAAAGCCACGGCUAACUACGUGCCAGCAGCCGCGGUAAUACGUAGGUGGCAAGCGUUAUCCGGAAUUAUUGGGCGUAAAGCGCGCGCAGGUGGUUUCUUAAGUCUGAUGUGAAAGCCCACGGCUCAACCGUGGAGGGUCAUUGGAAACUGGGAGACUUGAGUGCAGAAGAGGAAAGUGGAAUUCCAUGUGUAGCGGUGAAAUGCGUAGAGAUAUGGAGGAACACCAGUGGCGAAGGCGACUUUCUGGUCUGUAACUGACACUGAGGCGCGAAAGCGUGGGGAGCAAACAGGAUUAGAUACCCUGGUAGUCCACGCCGUAAACGAUGAGUGCUAAGUGUUAGAGGGUUUCCGCCCUUUAGUGCUGAAGUUAAC